RNAcentral lists this ribosomal RNA (253 nucleotides) under uncultured bacterium. RNAcentral describes it as "partial 16S ribosomal RNA". It matches the Rfam family "Bacterial small subunit ribosomal RNA", at positions 524 to 776 of the family's 1533-position model. The record is from RNAcentral.
UACGUAGGGUGCGAGCGUUGUCCGGAAUCAUUGGGCGUAAAGAGCUCGUAGGCGGUUUGUCACGUCUGCUGUGAAAUCCCGAGGCUCAACCUCGGGCCUGCAGUGGGUACGGGCAGACUGGAGUGCGGUAGGGGAGAUUGGAAUUCCUGGUGUAGCGGUGGAAUGCGCAGAUAUCAGGAGGAACACCGAUGGCGAAGGCAGAUCUCUGGGCCGUAACUGACGCUGAGGAGCGAAAGCGUGGGGAGCGAACAGG